AGUGAACGCUGGCGGUAGGCCUAACACAUGCAAGUCGAACGGCAGCACAGUAAGAGCUUGCUCUUACGGGUGGCGAGUGGCGGACGGGUGAGGAAUACAUCGGAAUCUACUUUUUCGUGGGGGAUAACGUAGGGAAACUUACGCUAAUACCGCAUACGACCUACGGGUGAAAGCAGGGGAUCUUCGGAACUUGCGCGAUAGAAUGAGCCGAUGUCGGAUUUGCUAGUUGGCGGGGUAAAGGCCCACCAAGGCGACGAUCCGUAGCUGGUCUGAGAGGAUGAUCAGCCACACUGGACCUGAGACACGGUCCAGACUCCUACGGGAGGCAGCAGUGGGGAAUAUUGGACAAUGGGCGCAAUCCUGAUCCAGCCAUACCGCGUGGGUGAAGAAGGCCUUCGGGUUGUAAAGCCCUUUUGUUGGGAAAGAAAAGCAGCAGGUUAAUACCCCGCUGUUCUGACGGUACCCAAAGAAUAAGCACCGGCUAACUUCGUG
RNAcentral lists this ribosomal RNA (492 nucleotides) under uncultured bacterium. RNAcentral's name for it is "partial 16S ribosomal RNA". It matches the Rfam family "Bacterial small subunit ribosomal RNA", at positions 29 to 507 of the family's 1533-position model. The record is from RNAcentral.